Vicugna pacos (alpaca) is the source of this 393-nucleotide non-coding RNA. The record is from RefSeq and is a predicted model, not a curated record. Lineage: Eukaryota; Metazoa; Chordata; Mammalia; Artiodactyla; Camelidae.
GAGGCGGAGCCGGGCGUGGCUGCCAGGCCCUUCUGCUCUCAAUCAGGCAGCCCAGGAGUUUGGAUUUCAUUCUGAGUGUGAUGGGAGGUCAUUGAAGGAUUUUAUGCAGGAACGAGCCCUGAUCCUAUUUACGUUUUUAACAGAUUAUUCUGCUGCUAUGUGGGGGAUGGAUUGUAGGAGAGCCAGGGUAAAAGCAGGAAGACCAGCUGGAGACAAUGGUGGAUUGGACCAAGGAGGAAGAGAAGGUGAGCAGAGCAAGGGAAAGCUGAAAAGACAUGAGCCUGGCUCCGCAUCCCUGGUUGUGAGUCUCCUGCGCUGCCCACGAAGAAUCCCAGACACCAGCUGCCUCAAACGCUGAUGUGAAAUUAACCAAGAAGGCGGAACGGCACAUGG